CUCAGGUGUUCUUCAUCUGACCUUUACUAUACGACACUGUUUUUCCAAGCUCAUCCCCUUCCCUUUCUCCUUUUAAGCUUCUUGGCAAUAAUGUCCAUGACUACAUCUGUUGCUGCUAUAUCCAUGGCAACAUUCAGACACUCUGUUACUGGUGAGUGCUCAGCACAGAAGCCUUCCACUCCCAUAUAAGUAUUCAAAAUCUCCCAUUGGUAGUAACCCAUUCAGAUUCCUUUGUUAUAUAGUUUCCUUGAUCCAGCAGAAAUUCUUCUCUCCCACCCCUUAUAACGAACAAAAUAGGGCCCCAAACCCUAUAAUAGUACCUUCUGACCCAGGCUAGAAAAAUAGAAUUGUCACUUGAGAAGAAUGGACUUUUAUUUAAAAGCCAUCAGAUUACAUACAUGGAACCUUUUUAUGAUGGCAAGUGGGCUCAAAGUCAUGAAAUAUUCCACUCCCCCUGCAUCUUUCAUUUACAGUUGAUCCUCUCUGAAAUGUGUUGUGAUAGGAUAAAGAACAGGAGUACUUGUGGCACCUUAGAGACAAACAAAUUUAUUAGAGCAUAAGCUUUCGUGGACUACAGCCCACUUCUUCGGAUGCAGGAUAUCAGAUAAAAGUGAUCUUCUGCUAGCACGCACACCACUACGCUGGAAGCCCUACUGAGAAGUUCUAACCACCUACUGAAAAUAGAGGCAAGCCUUGCUGAAAACUUUUAUUGGAGCCAAAAACUCUUAUGGAGAUGCCUGGCAAAAUAAUCCAAAAAAUGAUUCUAAAGAAAUGUACUUACAUAUCCACCUACGUAUCAAAACCAGAAAGCUAUGCUAACAAGGGAUGGAUCCUCCAGCCUGGGGAGAUGGGUAUGCUAUAAGAAGACUAAUUUUCAAAUAAGAACAUGCCUGCGUUUCUCCAAUUAUCAUCUCUUCUUUUAUUGAGCUGCUGACUGCUGUCAGAAAAUCACAGAAUAGGUCACUACAUUUGACUUUUAAAGCCAAAGGACAAUCAUAUUGAAUGUGGGCAGAAAUAGGGUUUUAAAGCCCAGAGUUUGCUUCUUGUAUACAUAUUUGUUAAAAUAAAAUCCUCAAGAUUAAAAAAAAGAGAGAGAAUCAUUUUAUCAAGAUGAAAUAUGAAAGCUAUAAUUCUUAACUCUAUUACCAUAUAUACAGCUGUGAUAAAAAUCUUACUGUCAAUUUCAUGCUUUUUGGACAGAUGGCAGGGCUUGCUUCUGUAUUGUUCUCAAGCUUGUGGUGGGGCUGGAUUUUUUUUUUUUUAAACAUAAUGCAAGUAUAAUGAGCCAAACAAUAUUAUUCUAGC
This is an RNA transcript of Chrysemys picta bellii (western painted turtle), 1305 nucleotides long. RefSeq lists it as uncharacterized. Lineage: Eukaryota; Metazoa; Chordata; Testudines; Emydidae. The record is from RefSeq and is a predicted model, not a curated record.